Molecule: small RNA, 83 nt
Filed under: Klebsiella pneumoniae
Lineage: Bacteria; Pseudomonadati; Pseudomonadota; Gammaproteobacteria; Enterobacterales; Enterobacteriaceae
Description: partial RtT sRNA
Rfam family: RtT RNA
About the family: This family represents a bacterial cis-regulatory element known as RtT RNA. The exact function of RtT is unknown although it is thought that it may be involved in changing the cellular response in relation to amino acid starvation.
Source: RNAcentral
AUCGCCAGCACCAGGGGGAUAACGUUGCGUAAGCAACGGCCCAAAGGGCGAGGCGUAGCCGAGUCAUCCUCCCGGAUGCACCA